CCUACGGGAGGCAGCAGUGAGGAAUAUUGGUCAAUGGGCGGAAGCCUGAACCAGCCAAGUCGCGUGAGGGAAGACGGUCCUAUGGAUUGUAAACCUCUUUAGGCGGGGAGCAAUGCCGGGCACGUGUGUCUUUUUGUAUGUACUUUAUGAAUAAGGAUCGGCUAACUCCGUGCCAGCAGCCGCGGUAAUACGGAGGAUCCGAGCGUUAUCCGGAUUUAUUGGGUUUAAAGGGAGCGUAGAUGGGUUGUUAAGUCAGUUGUGAAAGUUUGCGGCUCAACCGUAAAAUUGCAAUUGAUACUGGCAGUCUGGAGUGCAGUUGAGGUAGGCGGAAUUCGUGGUGUAGCGGUGAAAUGCUUAGAUAUCACGAAGAACUCCGAUUGCGAAGGCAGCUUACUAAACUGCCACUGACGUUGAUGCUCGAAAGUGUGGGUAUCAAACAGGAUUAGAUACCCCUGUAGUC
This 460-nucleotide ribosomal RNA is filed under the name uncultured bacterium. RNAcentral describes it as "partial 16S ribosomal RNA". It matches the Rfam family "Bacterial small subunit ribosomal RNA", at positions 338 to 795 of the family's 1533-position model. The record is from RNAcentral.